This 508-nucleotide ribosomal RNA is filed under the name uncultured bacterium. RNAcentral's name for it is "bacterial SSU rRNA". It matches the Rfam family "Bacterial small subunit ribosomal RNA", at positions 22 to 518 of the family's 1533-position model. The record is from RNAcentral.
GGUCAGGAUGAACGCUAGCUACAGGCUUAACACAUGCAAGUCGAGGGGCAGCAGGGCAAUAGCUUGCUAUUGCUGCUGGCGACCGGCGCACGGGUGAGUAACGCGUAUCCAACCUACCCCGCGGUCAGGGACAGCCCGGCGAAAGUCGAAUUAAUACCUGAUGCAGUCAGAAGAGGGCAUCUGAUUUUGACGAAAGAUUGAUCGCCUCGGGAUGGGGAUGCGUAGGAUUAGGCAGGCGGCGGGGUAACGGCCCACCGCGCCGACGAUCCUUAGGGGUUCUGAGAGGAAGGUCCCCCACACUGGUACUGAGACACGGACCAGACUCCUACGGGAGGCAGCAGUGAGGAAUAUUGGUCAAUGGGCGUGAGCCUGAACCAGCCAAGUAGCGUGCAAGGACGACGGCCCUAUGGGUUGUAAACUGCUUUUAUGCGGGGAUAAAGUGCGGCACGUGUGCCGUUUUGUAGGCACCGCAUGAAUAAGGACCGGCUAAUUCCGUGCCAGCCGCAGC